UCAUCCACAACCUCAUUAGCCAUAAGAGCUGCAUCCUGAAUUUGCCUUCCUUUCACCAAAGUAUGUUGACACUCGCUUGUUCAAAUAACAACAUUCAUCAUUCUCCACGUUCCGCCAGGUUGUGGUCCUUCCUGAAUGAAAAUUCGCCACACUGCCUCCUCUUUCUCCUCUGUGAAGAUCAGGAACCUUUCCCUCUUGUUCCUGCCCAUGGAUACCCACAAGUUGAGCCUCCUUUCCGUAUUGUUCCGAUCCCAAACCUUCCCGCGUUUAGUCCAGUGAAAUUCAUGUAAAGUGCCUAGCAACCAUGCCACUUCUUUCCGAAAAAGGUCGAAACCCUAAAACCUCUUCCAUUCUAACUCACCCUUUGUCUUUCCGAUUUUCUCCCUCAAAGAUGACAAAAAAUCUCGCUUUUGAUGGCCAGAAAUGUUCUAUCCUGAAUGACCUUUCUGACCACCCCCCAAGGCAACGAGGAUGGUCAUGCAAGUGUCCUCGGCCUAUGUGUCUUCUUUUGACUGGUCAAAACGU
RNAcentral lists this long non-coding RNA (525 nucleotides) under Carica papaya (papaya). RNAcentral's name for it is "long non-coding RNA (CPAP_LNC002415)". Lineage: Eukaryota; Viridiplantae; Streptophyta; Magnoliopsida; Brassicales; Caricaceae. The record is from RNAcentral.